GGGGGAUGAUGGCAGUGGUUGCCCGGGACUCUCAUAAGGUUCAACAGGUUGGUUCGAUUCCAACUCCCCUCA
RNAcentral lists this transfer RNA (72 nucleotides) under Candidatus Omnitrophota bacterium. RNAcentral's name for it is "tRNA-Met". It matches the Rfam family "tRNA". Rfam says of the family: Transfer RNA (tRNA) molecules are approximately 80 nucleotides in length. Their secondary structure includes four short double-helical elements and three loops (D, anti-codon, and T loops). The record is from RNAcentral. Lineage: Bacteria; Pseudomonadati; Candidatus Omnitrophota.